GGGACAGAAUUUCUUCAAACUUGAGUCGGUCGGCACGGUGUUGGAUGUCAUCAGUGAAAUGCUCAGACUGAACUCAUCAAAGAAGGAAUCGGCUAGGCCUUACCUGGCUCCUGACAGUACCAAUCCAGGUGAGGAAGGGACUCUUGAUAUUCAUAAUAAUAGCAUGAGGGAUUAAAGUCGUCAGAGUAAGCAAGUAGUUCUGUUCAGAAAUAAUAUAUUGAAUUAGAAAGGCACUUUAUAGUUUUAAAGGACACUUCCAUAUCUGUUACUUGAGCACCUUAAACCUUUCAUUAGAUCUGCCGAAUGAUUGGUUUUGUUCCCUCUUGAACCUUUCUCAGGUAAAGAAGAACCAUGCCUCUUUAAGUCCAGAAAUUGUCUUUGCGAAUUAACAUACAUGGAUCUUGUUGGGCAGUUAUGGAUAAAUGGAUGGCUGAAUGAAUAAACAAAAGGACAGGACUCAAAAGGAGUAACAAGAUGCUUCCAGUUGUUUAAAAUAGACAAUAAAAUAUAUUUUGAGCAUAGACUACCUGGUUAUAUAAUCAGUUAAAAAUGAGGCACUUCAUGAAAUCUUCUGAAACCGUAGUGGCACACAUCCUCGCCAAGAAUUACACGGGAGGGCGUGACAGCGCGCCUGGGUCGUGGCCCGGCGCUUAGAGCGUUCAGUCACUGCUGUUAAGUGAGGAGGUGACCACAGGGGAGACUUCUAGUCUUACUCCUUUUUCCAUUUCUCAAAAAGCCGCUUCCCAAAGAAUACAAAAAAAAAAAAAAAGAAUCUUUUAAUUGCCGAAAUAUUAUACAACUAGACUAGUUUUACACGUUAUUGUUCUGGUGCUGUAUUAUCUUGUUCUUUAUUGUCUGAUGUUUAAAUCAGAAAAUAACCUGGUUAUGUAUUACUUAUAUCUAAGAGUCUAUCAUCUUUUAGGCAGAGAUGUUUGGGCCUGAAGAGGAAGAAUUCUUCCAGGGUGUUGGAAAGGCAUCUUCACGACAAGCUGAAGCCAAAUGGAGGCAUUUGAGAACAAAUGGUUUUGAAAAAUCCUGGACAUUCGGUGAGAUACUCAUAGAGAACAUCAGGAACUUUUCCAGUGAGUCGGCUCUUCACAUCAAAUGACCAAAAUACUGGAGCUUCAGCUUUAGCAUCAGUCUUUCCAACAACUAUUCAGGGGUAAUUUCCCUUAAGACUGCCUGGUGUGAUCUCCUUGAUUCAAGGGACUCUCGGGAGUCUUCUCCAGCCCCACGGUUUGAAGGCAUCGGUUCUUUGGCAUCCCGCCUUCUUUACUGUCCAGCUCUCACCACUGUAGGUGACCACUGGGAAGACCAGAGCCGUAACUGUAUGGAUCUUUGUCGGCAGAGUUUUUUGCUUUUCAACACACUGUCUAGGUUUGUCAUC
Molecule: long non-coding RNA, 1387 nt
Organism: Cervus elaphus (red deer)
Lineage: Eukaryota; Metazoa; Chordata; Mammalia; Artiodactyla; Cervidae
Exons: 3
Source: RefSeq, a predicted model, not a curated record